Molecule: ribosomal RNA, 253 nt
Filed under: uncultured bacterium
Lineage: Bacteria
Description: partial 16S ribosomal RNA
Rfam family: Bacterial small subunit ribosomal RNA
Source: RNAcentral
UACGGAGGGUGCAAGCGUUGCUCGGAAUCACUGGGCGUAAAGCGUACGCAGGCGGCCAGGUAAGUUGGGUGUGAAAUCCCGGGGCUCAACCCCGGAACUGCAUUCAAAACUACCUGGCUUGAAUACGGGAGAGGGAAGCGGAAUUCCUGGUGUAGAGGUGAAAUUCGUAGAUAUCAGGAGGAACACCAGUGGCGAAAGCGGCUUCCUGGCCCGAUAUUGACGCUCAUGUACGAAAGCGUGGGGAGCAAACAGG